GAUGAACGCUGGCGGCGUGCCUAAUACAUGCAAGUCGAGCGAACGGACGAGAAGCUUGCUUCUCUGAUGUUAGCGGCGGACGGGUGAGUAACACGUGGAUAACCUACCUAUAAGACUGGGAUAACUUCGGGAAACCUGAGCUAAUACCGGAUAAUAUUUUGAACCGCAUGGUUCAAAAGUGAAAGACGGUCUUUCUGUCACUUAUAGAUGGAUCCGCGCUGCAUUAGCUAGUUGGUAAGGUAACGGCUUACCAAGGCAACGAUGCAUAGCCGACCUGAGAGGGUGAUCGGCCACACUGGAACUGAGACACGGUCCAGACUCCUACGGGAGGCAGCAGUAGGGAAUCUUCCGCAAUGGGCGAAAGCCUGACGGAGCAACGCCGCGUGAGUGAUGAAGGUCUUCGGAUCGUAAAACUCUGUUAUUAGGGAAGAACAUAUGUGUAAGUAACUGUGCACAUCUUGACGGUACCUAAUCAGAAAGCCACGGCUAACUACGUG
Molecule: ribosomal RNA, 497 nt
Filed under: uncultured bacterium
Lineage: Bacteria
Description: partial 16S ribosomal RNA
Rfam family: Bacterial small subunit ribosomal RNA
Source: RNAcentral